GAUGAACGCUGGCGGCGUGCCUAAUACAUGCAAGUCGAGCGAACAGAUGAGGAGCUUGCUCCUCUGACGUUAGCGGCGGACGGGUGAGUAACACGUGGAUAACCUACCUAUAAGACUGGGAUAACUUCGGGAAACCGGAGCUAAUACCGGAUAAUAUAUUGAACCGCAUGGUUCAAUAGUGAAAGACGGUUUUGCUGUCACUUAUAGAUGGAUCCGCGCCGCAUUAGCUAGUUGGUAAGGUAACGGCUUACCAAGGCAACGAUGCGUAGCCGACCCGAGAGAGUAAUCGACCACACUGGAACUGAGACACAGUACACGCUCCGACAGGAGGCAGCAGUAGGGAAUCCACCAGCAUACGCGGAAGCAUGACGGAGCCUCGCCGCGUGAGUGAUGAAGGUCUUAGGAUCGUAAAACUCUGUUAUUAGGGACGACCAAAUGUGUAAGUAACUAUGCACGUCUUGACGGUACCUAAGCAGAAAGCAACGGCUAACUACGUG
Molecule: ribosomal RNA, 497 nt
Filed under: uncultured bacterium
Lineage: Bacteria
Description: partial 16S ribosomal RNA
Rfam family: Bacterial small subunit ribosomal RNA
Source: RNAcentral